CAUUACUGAGUUAUCCAAAAACUCCCAACCCUAUGUGAACUUACCACUGUUGCCUCGGCGAGCUGCGCUACCCUGUAGCUACUUUUGUAGCGACCUGGGAGCGCGUUAUAGGCUCGCCAGAGGACCACUAAACUCUGUUUUAUUUUGUAUCUCUGAAUCUUACAACUAAAAUCAGUUAAAACUUUCAACAACGGAUCUCUUGGUUCUGGCAUCGAUGAAGAACGCAGCGAAAUGCGAUAAGUAAUGUGAAUUGCAGAAUUCAGUGAAUCAUCGAAUCUUUGAACGCACAUUGCGCCCAUUAGUAUUCUAGUGGGCAUGCCUAUUCGAGCGUCAUUUCAACCCUUAAGCCUCAAUAGCUUAGCGUUGGGAAUCUACAGGUUACAGCGUAGUUCCUUAAAAGUAGUGGCGGAGUUAGAGCACACUCUAAGCGUAGUACUUGUUUCUCGCUUCUGGUAGUGGCUUUGGCGGCCGGCCGUGAAACCCCCUAUAUUUCUAAUGGUUGACCUCGGAUUAGGUAGGAAUACCCGCUGAACUUAAGCAUAUCAAUAAGCGGAGGAAAAGAAACCAACAGGGAUUGCCCUAGUAACGGCGAGUGAAGCGGCAACAGCUCAAAUUUGAAAUCUGGCCUUCGGGUCCGAGUUGUAAUUUGUAGAGGAUGCUUUGGGUGCGGUGCCUUCCGAGUUCCCUGGAACGGGACGCCUUAGAGGGUGAGAGCCCCGUACGGUUGGACACCUAGCCUAUGUAUAGCUCCUUCGACGAGUCGAGUAGUUUGGGAAUGCUGC
Molecule: ribosomal RNA, 782 nt
Filed under: fungal endophyte
Lineage: Eukaryota; Fungi
Description: eukaryotic LSU rRNA
Rfam family: Eukaryotic large subunit ribosomal RNA (bases 501-782)
Source: RNAcentral